GCAGCCGUAGCUCAAUUGGAUAGAGCAUCUGACUACGAAUCAGAAGGUUUGAGGUUCGACUCCUCACGGCUGCACCA
RNAcentral lists this transfer RNA (77 nucleotides) under Verrucomicrobiota bacterium. Its description in RNAcentral is "tRNA-Arg". It matches the Rfam family "tRNA". From Rfam's summary of the family: Transfer RNA (tRNA) molecules are approximately 80 nucleotides in length. Their secondary structure includes four short double-helical elements and three loops (D, anti-codon, and T loops). Further hydrogen bonds mediate the characteristic L-shaped molecular structure. tRNAs have two regions of fundamental functional importance: the anti-codon, which is responsible for specific mRNA codon recognition, and the 3' end, to which the tRNAs corresponding amino acid is attached (by aminoacyl-tRNA synthetases). tRNAs cope with the degeneracy of the genetic code in two manners: having more than one tRNA (with a specific anti-codon) for a particular amino acid; and 'wobble' base-pairing, i.e. permitting non-standard base-pairing at the 3rd anti-codon position. Lineage: Bacteria; Pseudomonadati; Verrucomicrobiota. The record is from RNAcentral.